Xyrichtys novacula (pearly razorfish) is the source of this 2792-nucleotide non-coding RNA. The record is from the annotation of a GenBank genome assembly. NCBI's taxonomy places the organism in Eukaryota, Metazoa, Chordata, Actinopteri, Labriformes, Labridae.
AAAUUAAUUAAUAUGAACACAUGAAUUUGAUCACAUUUGAUUUGGUCGAGGACGAGGCUCGAGAAAAGGAGGUGAAAAUGUCAAGUUUUUCUGCUCCAACAGACUCAAACACUUUAUGAAUAAAUAUGACAUGGUGAACAAAAACUGGAAUAAAAAAGGUAAUACAUUGAAUUUUUUACUUUUUUUUACUGUUUCAAUGGUUAGGGUUGAAGUUGUUUAAGAGAUUUGAGUCAAAAAAAGUAAAAACAAAGUAAAAAAAUGAUAAUUUUAUAAACAUUUAUCUUCAUGUCUGUUUUUGAGACGAAGUGGAAUGGAUGAAGUUUCAAAUCAACAAAAACCGAGGGUGAAGAAACGUCAUUUUAAGAUUUUUAAGUGUUCUCAACCUCAUCGAUUCAUCAAUUCAUCAAUAUUUAUCUAUACAGAGAUCUCUAUUUUUACUGAGACCAACAUCAGGACUGGAUCAGACUGAGACCACCUCCUCACAGAUCAGAUCCACUUCUAUCACCUAACCUUCAACCACAGGAGAGAAAGACUUUAUUUAACAGGCGGAAACCUCGAGGAGGACCAGACUGAUGUUAGACCGUCAUCUGCUGAGACUGAGCUGAGUUUAGAGAGGAGGGACUGAUCCACAGGUCCACAUUAGCUAAACAUCUGAAGCAGCGAUCCAGAGGAACCUACAGGAUGAUGGAGCUUAGUAUGGAAAUAUAAUCAUGUUGAUCGUAUUUAUCUUUAUUGUUCACAAAAUAUCAAAGCUGAAACUUUGACUCCAGGCUUGACUGACCUUCUAAAGCUCCACAGACAGACAGACAGACAGACAGACGGACAGACAGACAGACAGACAGACAGACAGACAGACGGACAGACGGACGGACAGACAGACAGACAGACAGACAGACAGACAGACAGACGGAGGUCCAGCUCCUCUCUGAAGUGAUUUUUUAUCCUGUUUUCCUCACAAACAGAUCAAAUAUAUCUGCUGUUUUUCGCUCUCUUCGUUCUGUCUAACCCCUCGCCUGAAGGAAACACAAACUCGUUCAUCUUGAUUGUCACAAAACGACCUGAGUGAUCCAUCUCGGAGCAGAUGAAUGGACUCCUGCAGGCUGCAAACGUAAUCAGAGCGGCUCUCUAAUGGUGGAUAGUUGUAUUAGCGGCUGCUGCUAAAAGCCAUGAGGCCAGUGUCAGAUGAGGGGAAAUACAACAUCAUUACAGCUCUACAGCACAGACGUGGAUCAGUCUCUGAUAACAUUAAAGUCCAGCUUCCUUUGUGCGGCGGCGGUCUGCUCUCCAACACUCUAACUGCUUUUGGCGUGAGCCAGACGAGCGCCCGGCUUUGAAGCUGCAGAGUCACAGCGAGGAGGAGCGGGCGCUCAGCUGAUGAUGGUGACAGAGCCAGAGUGUGUGUGUGUGUGUGUGUGUGUGUGUGUGAGGUGGAGGUGCUGCUCGCUGUGUGAUGUAAUUAAAGCUUCACUAAGAAAGGAGAUUAUUUCUGUAAGAGGAGUGAAGUGAGCGAGCUCUGCUGCAGGAGGUUAGAUGGACAGCAGAGUUCAGGUCUGGACGGUUUAUGAACGAGAACUUCAAAGUCAGAGAAGACGGUAAACACAGAACUGGAGCUGCUGAGGAGAGACGCUGCUGAGAGUCUGGAAGAACCGGGUCUUAUUGAAACCAGAGGGACUCAAAACACUCUCACAGUUUCCUGAUAGUUUGAACGUUUGGACAGGAAGUGUUCAGAGUUUAGGGAUUCUGAUUCUCUUAUCGAUUCUCAGUGAGUGAGACAUAAGAUCAUAUAAAUGAUUUGUUCUCAUUAACUCUUAAAAACUGAGUUUAUAAUAAUAAUAAUAAUAAUAAUAAUAAUAAUAAUAAUAAUAAUAAAUCUAUGGUGGCAAAAGGAGACGAACAAGUAAAAGGUUUUUAGACGUCAUUUCACCCCGAUGACACCAUGGAUGAGGAGAUGCUGAUUCUAGAAGUCUAGAAGUAGAUUUCCUCCUCUGGAAGGACACAAUCUACUGCUUAUAUGUCUAUGUGUCUGUCUUUAGAGAGACAACUUGUUAUCGUGAGAUUGAAUGUGAAUCUGUCCGUAAUCCGCCACGAAAUUCGCCUCACAAACAGAUCUGGUAGGAAUUGGCAGACAGCGAAAAUCGCCACCGUUCCAGAUGUGGUGAAAAUUGGCGGUAAGACCACAAAUCUGCUGAAAGCUCGGUGACACUCGUUUAUCUUCGCCUCCGUCAUUUUACUCCUGCCUCGAUGAAAAGGGACCGCCAAAGGUUAGCUACCCGCUGCAGCCUCUGAGCUAGCAGGACUCUCUAAAUGUAAUUUAAGGAGAUAGAAAGUAUUUUUAGUAAAAGGGGGUUAGCAUGGUGCUAACAUCUACAACAGACCAGGACCUGGAGGAGUUCAACGUUACCUUGAUGACGUCAAGAUGUUAGCUCCGCUCCUGUUUUUGCCUGGAUCAAACACAUUACACUUCCACAGAUUAUUUACAUGCUGGGUGGACAAACGUUUCCAUUCUUAGGAACCGAAUCACUGAGAACCGGUUCUAAAAAAGACCCGGUUCUUGAUUCUCAUCCUGAGUUACACGUGUGGUUCAGUGGAGCUUCAGUCUGAGCUCCAUCAGCUGAUUUCACUGGACUAUGUUUACACGCACCGACGGACAGAUUCAUGUCCACCUGCGAAAAAACAUACGAGAAAGAAGCUUCAGUAAGAUUUUGUUUACUAAUCGGUUUCCUAGCAACACAUUUAUGUUUUUCAUCUCCCAGGUAAAAGCUCAGCGUGAAAACACCCAAAACACUAACAGC